RNAcentral lists this ribosomal RNA (631 nucleotides) under Tremella mesenterica. Its description in RNAcentral is "LSU rRNA". It matches the Rfam family "Eukaryotic large subunit ribosomal RNA", at positions 43 to 660 of the family's 3401-position model. The record is from RNAcentral. Lineage: Eukaryota; Fungi; Basidiomycota; Tremellomycetes; Tremellales; Tremellaceae.
UCAAUAAGCGGAGGAAAAGAAACUAACAAGGAUUCCCCUAGUAAACGGCGAGCGAACCGGGAAGAGCUCAAAUUUGAAAUCUGGCGUCCCACGGGCGUCCGAGUUGUAAUCUGCAGAGGCGUCUUCCGCCCCGGACCGCGUCCAAGUCCCUUGGAACAGGGUAUCAAAGAGGGUGACAAUCCCGUGCUUGACGCGACCCCCGGUGCUAUGUGAUGCGACCUCAAAGAGUCGAGUUGUUUGGGAAUGCAGCUCAAAACGGGUGGUAAAUUCCAUCUAAGGCUAAAUAUUGGCGAGAGACCGAUAGCGAACAAGUACCGUGAGGGAAAGAUGAAAAGCACUUUGGAAAGAGAGUUAAACAGUACGUGAAAUUGUUGGAAGGGAAACGAUUGAAGUCAGUCGUGUCCGAGGGGUUCAGCCGGUCCUGCCGGUGCACUCCCCUCGGACGGGUCAACAUCGGUUCUGUCCGGCGGACAAGGGCAGGGGGAACGUGGCACCCUCGUGGUGUGUUAUAGCCCCCCGUCGCAUACGUCGGUCGGGACCGAGGAUCGCAGCUCGCCCUCACGGGCCGGGGUUCGCCCACGUCCGAGCUUAGGAUGUUGACGUAAUGGCUUUAAACGACCCGUCUUGAAAC